RNAcentral lists this ribosomal RNA (468 nucleotides) under uncultured bacterium. RNAcentral describes it as "partial 16S ribosomal RNA". It matches the Rfam family "Bacterial small subunit ribosomal RNA", at positions 28 to 507 of the family's 1533-position model. The record is from RNAcentral.
GACGAACGCUGGCGGCGUGCUUAACACAUGCAAGUCGAACGGAAAGGCCCUGCUUUUGUGGGGUGCUCGAUUGGCGAACGGGUGAGUAACACGUGAGUAACCUGCCCUUGACUUUGUGAUAACUUCAGGAAACUGGGGCUCAUACCGGAUAGGAUCUCCUGCUGCAUGGUGGUGAUUGGAAAGUUUCGGCGGUUGGGGAUGGAAUGGCUGCUUAUCAGCUUGUUGGUGGGGUAGUGGUAUACCAAGGCUUUGACGGGUAGCCGGCCUGAGAGCGGUAACGGCGACAAUGGGCCUGAGAUACGGACCAGAAUGCUAUGGGACGCAGUAGGGGGGAAUCUGGCAGAAUGGGCGCAAGCGAGAUGCAACAACGCUGCGAGCGUGAUGCUGGCCUACGGGUUGUAAACAGCUUUCGCCUGUAACGAAGAGUGAGUGACGGUAACGGGUAAAGAAGCAACGGCUAACUACGUG